GGUAGCAGGAUUCAGUAUCUAGAAGUACUACUACUCUUAUUACAACCUUCAAUUACGUUCCAUGCUGCGCAAUGCGCGAGUUCUUGGAUGCAUCGCGUGUUGUCCAGUAAUAAAUUUGCAUUCAUAUAGUUUGUGUCAUAUAUCACAACAAACUCUCAGGCCUUGUCAAAUAUAUUGAAUUUGCAUUUCUUUUUGUCACUUUUUAAUAUGAAUUGAUGUAAUUCAUAUUAAAGACCUCGCUAAUCCAUGAUCUGACCAUCCAUGAUUGCCCGAAAUUUGAGUUGCCAUCUCUUCCAUCUGUUAAAGACCUCUUUGCAGUUGGACGUAACUAUGAGUCACUGAUGUCAAUCUGUAGUUUCAAUGGUCAUGACACUCUCUACCUUUGUGUAGGUAAAGAAAUGAAAUCUUUCCCAUAGAGGAUUUUGAGAACCGUUAAACCAAGCUUUAGAGUGUCUGCAUAUCUUAUACUGUGAUGAGCCUGAGUCUUUUCCGGAGAAAAUGUGGAAAGGUCUACGAUUCGAACAAUGGAAUUUGCUUGGUAUAAAGGAUUGAAAUCCUUGCAAGAAGGAUAUUGCACUCUUGUCACUUCAUUAUUAUCAUGCAGUGCAUGUUAGUUUCUGUAAUGUUUUUCAAUGAUAAGUUCAAAUCAUUGUGUUUUCUUUUA
Molecule: long non-coding RNA, 664 nt
Organism: Medicago truncatula (barrel medic)
Lineage: Eukaryota; Viridiplantae; Streptophyta; Magnoliopsida; Fabales; Fabaceae
Exons: 2
Source: RefSeq, a predicted model, not a curated record